ACGAACGCUGGCGGCAGGCUUAACACAUGCAAGUCGAACGGUUGUAGCAAUACAGCAGUGGCAGACGGGUGAGUAACACGUGGGAACCUUCCUAGGGGUACGGAACAACUCAGGGAAACUUGAGCUAAUACCGUAUACGUCCGUGAGGAGAAAGAUUUAUCGCCCCUAGACGGGCCCGCGUCCGAUUAGCUAGUUGGUGAGGUAAUGGCUCACCAAGGCUACGAUCGGUAGCUGGUCUGAGAGGAUGAUCAGCCACACUGGGACUGAGACACGGCCCAGACUCCUACGGGAGGCAGCAGUGGGGAAUAUUGGACAAUGGGCGCAAGCCUGAUCCAGCCAUGCCGCGUGAGUGAAGAAGGCCUUAGGGUUGUAAAGCUCUUUCGACGGGGACGAUGAUGACGGUACCCGUAGAAGAAGCCCCGGCUAACUUCGU
This 433-nucleotide ribosomal RNA is filed under the name uncultured bacterium. Its description in RNAcentral is "bacterial SSU rRNA". It matches the Rfam family "Bacterial small subunit ribosomal RNA", at positions 29 to 506 of the family's 1533-position model. The record is from RNAcentral.